CGCGGGGUAGUUCAGCUGGCAGAACAGAGGACUCAUAAUCCUCAGGUCGUGGGUUCGACUCCCACCCCCGCAACCA
This 76-nucleotide transfer RNA is filed under the name Stenotrophomonas phage Philippe. Its description in RNAcentral is "tRNA-Met". It matches the Rfam family "tRNA". Rfam says of the family: Transfer RNA (tRNA) molecules are approximately 80 nucleotides in length. Their secondary structure includes four short double-helical elements and three loops (D, anti-codon, and T loops). The record is from RNAcentral. Lineage: Duplodnaviria; Heunggongvirae; Uroviricota; Caudoviricetes; Schitoviridae.